RNAcentral lists this long non-coding RNA (362 nucleotides) under Fukomys damarensis (Damara mole-rat). Its description in RNAcentral is "lncRNA (ENSFDAG00000031543.1)". Lineage: Eukaryota; Metazoa; Chordata; Mammalia; Rodentia; Bathyergidae. The record is from RNAcentral.
GAAAGAUGCACGGAUGAGCAUGGGCAUCUCCGCUGUACUGCUGGCACUUCUACUGCAGGGCUGAGAUGCUGAAGCAGCCCAGAUCCGGGACUGUACCUUUACUGCACAGCUCCAUACCAUCCUGAGCUCAGCACAACUCUGAGGCCCUGACUCCGCGUGGGCUUCGAAGUGUCUGCCAACAUACCUGAUCCACAAUUUCUCCAUCUCUGAAGAAAGGAUAGUGAUGACUACUCCAAAAUUAAAGUAAUGCGUACCACAUGCCUGGCACACGAAUGCUGCCAUUCAAAAAUUAUCAGUGGUGACUACAACAAUACAAACCUCGCAUACAACUCACUGCUGGUCUCCCCAAAGUUCAGCUGGCC